Non-coding RNA from Camellia sinensis, 474 nucleotides. Lineage: Eukaryota; Viridiplantae; Streptophyta; Magnoliopsida; Ericales; Theaceae. The record is from RefSeq and is a predicted model, not a curated record.
UUCUUGCCAUUUGCGACGGUGUAAAACCUACCGCCGCAAAAAGUGAAAUUUUUUUUGCCCCCUUCCCUAUUCAUCUUGCCGCUCGAUCAAAAACGUAAUCCAAAUCCCUAAAAGUUUCAAACCAAUUUCUUUGCCCUAAAUCCCUACGAAGCCGAACGGCGAACGGUGGUGCGGUGGUGCGGUGCUGCUGCGGCGAGGACGACAGAUAUUUCCUGAGUAGCAGUUUGCUUCGCGUGGAAUGUGGGCACGUAAAGAUUAUGACCAACUUCUGUUUUUGUAACUCAUGAAUGAAUCAAGACGAAAACUUUUGGUUUUGAUUUUGAUUUAUAUUAUUUAAAUUUGUGACCAACAUUAUGUAUGUAUUAUGUGACCAACAUUAGGAAUUUUUAUCAUUUGCCAACUUUUGUUUAUGUAUGGAUUUAUAUUAUUAUGUCAUUUCUUGAUUUUUUUUAAGCUAUUUUUCAUUUGCCAACA